UGGGGAAUCUUGCACAAUGGGCGCAAGCCUGAUGCAGCCAUGCCGCGUGUGUGAAGAAGGCCUUCGGGUUGUAAAGCACUUUCAGCGGGGAGGAAGGCGGUGAGGUUAAUAACCUCAUCGAUUGACGUUACCCGCAGAAGAAGCACCGGCUAACUCCGUGCCAGCAGCCGCGGUAAUACGGAGGGUGCAAGCGUUAAUCGGAAUUACUUGGCGUAAAGCGCACGCAGGCGGUUUGUUAAGUCAGAUGUGAAAUCCCCGGGCUCAACCUGGGAACUGCAUCUGAUACUGGCAAGCUUGAGUCUCGUAGAGGGGGGUAGAAUUCCAGGUGUAGCGGUGAAAUGCGUAGAGAUCUGGAGGAAUACCGGUGGCGAAGGCGGCCCCCUGGACGAAGACUGACGCUCAGGUGCGAAAGAGUGGGGAGCAAACAGG
Molecule: ribosomal RNA, 429 nt
Filed under: Chloroflexota bacterium
Lineage: Bacteria; Bacillati; Chloroflexota
Description: Chloroflexi bacterium partial 16S ribosomal RNA
Rfam family: Bacterial small subunit ribosomal RNA
Source: RNAcentral